RNAcentral lists this ribosomal RNA (513 nucleotides) under Parahistomonas wenrichi. Its description in RNAcentral is "partial small subunit ribosomal RNA". It matches the Rfam family "Eukaryotic small subunit ribosomal RNA", at positions 268 to 849 of the family's 1831-position model. Lineage: Eukaryota; Parabasalia; Tritrichomonadida; Dientamoebidae. The record is from RNAcentral.
ACCUUUUUUUUCAAGGUAAUCCAAUCGAAUGAGUGACCUAUCAAGCCAGUACGUAGGGUCUUUACCUACGUAAGCUAUCACGGGUAACGGGUGGUUAUCGUCAUACUUCCGGAGAAGGCGCCUGAGAGAUAGCGACUAUAUCCACGGGUAGCAGCAGGCGCGAAACUUACCCACUCGAAAUAUUCGGAGGUGGUAAUGACCAGUUAUAAAUAUUUUUUUUAAGUAAAGAAUAUUAUAUAGGAAUAUAAUUUUCCAUUAUAUUGUAACCUAGCAGAGGGCCAGUCUGGUGCCAGCAGCUGCGGUAAUUCCAGCUCUGCAAGUUUGCUCCCAUAUUGUUGCAGUUAAAACGCUCGUAGUCUGAAUUCAUUCUAUUUAUUAAUAAAUAGAAUUUUAGUUUUAAAUUUAAAUUAAAACGUUCACUGUGAACAAAUCAGAACGCUUAAAGUAAGGAAUUCAAUACUUGAAUGACUUUGCGCAGUAUGAAAUUUUUACUAUUAACUUAAUUUUUUAAAU